Molecule: ribosomal RNA, 353 nt
Filed under: uncultured bacterium
Lineage: Bacteria
Description: bacterial SSU rRNA
Rfam family: Bacterial small subunit ribosomal RNA
Source: RNAcentral
AGAGUUUGAUCAUGGCUCAGGAUGAACGCUAGCUACAGGCUUAACACAUGCAAGUCGAGGGGAAACGACAUCGAAAGCUUGCUUUUGAUGGGCGUCGACCGGCGCACGGGUGAGUAACGCGUGUCCAACCUGCCCACCACUUGGGGAUAACCUUGCGAAAGUAAGACUAAUACCCAAUGACGUCUCUAGAAGACAUCUGAAGGAGAUUAAAGAUUUAUCGGUGAUGGAUGGGGAUGCGUCUGAUUAGCUUGUUGGCGGGGUAACGGCCACAAGGCGACGAUCAGGUAGGGGUUCUGAGAGGAACGGUCCCCACAUUGGAACUGAGACACGGUCCAAACGUCCUACGGGAGGCA